Sus scrofa (pig) is the source of this 1114-nucleotide non-coding RNA. NCBI's taxonomy places the organism in Eukaryota, Metazoa, Chordata, Mammalia, Artiodactyla, Suidae. The record is from RefSeq and is a predicted model, not a curated record.
UUGAAUAUACAAGAUAUACAAAUUUGAAAAUAAACCACAAAUAGUUGUAUUCGGUAGUCACUCACCCAAAGUUUCAAUGAAACUGUAAUUAUCAGUUAUUCCCCAAUUUCAACACAUUAUGAUAUUUGAUGAUUCAACUAAUAACUGAUCCCAGGGAGAAGCCUUCAAACCACAGACUUCUUCAUUCCAUUCACUUCUAAGCGUAUAAAUAGCUGUAACAUUCCAGGACCAGUCACUUUCCAUUUGUUAUAGCAGCAUCCAAGAGAAGAAACUAACUGGAAAAUUUGAGAAUACUUCUGAAAAAGAUGAAAGUUCUCCUUCUGCUCACAGCCAUGUUGGCAGUAACCACUGGUUUCCCAGUCUCUCCAGAACAGGAAAGAGAAAAACGAAGCAUCAGUGGAAGUGAUGAACUACCUUCACAGCUUUUUGUGCCCCCUAACAUAUAUCCAUUUUUCCCAUAUCCACCAUUCCUAAAUCCAUGGUCUAGGUAUUUUUAUCCUCCCAUUCCAGUAGCUCUGUCUGGACCUACAGCUAUCCCUCCUAAAGAAGAAUUAUUAGAAAAGAAAAGUCCCAGUGCAAUUUAGGACAAAAUAGGUGGUCAAAUUGAAUGUGAGCCACUUCCUUGAAGAAUAAAUUGCCUUGUUAAUAAAAGAAAAAUAAACGUGAUUGAAGCAGCAUACAGUGUUUUCUCAUUAAUAUCUCAAGCAGCUCUCUUUAGUAAACAUGAAAGAAAAGAUCUUGGCUACCCAUUUUCUAAAUGUGCACUGCUGGUAGGAAUGCAAAAUAAAUUUUAACAGAUUUUAAUAUACACUUCCUGAUGACUAACCAUUAUAGGGAAGGUACUGGCGAGGAGCUGACCAAAAUCAACCAGCCCUGGAAUCACCUUGAAUGAAAGUCUAUCAGUAGCUUAUGCUGUGAAGUUCUACUCCUUGUAUUAAUGAGACUAGAAGAUGAUUUAAUUUAAUUCAAAAACAUAUUGGAGUAACUGAGUCUGAAUCACUCAAAUACCUAUUUAAGUCUGUAAUUUGUAAGAUAGUAAGACUGAUGCAUUGGUAAAUGAUAUCAAAAACAACCAAGUCUCAAACUUAAAAAAAAACAUAUGGGUAAUGGGUGG